CUCAUCACCAUUCUAGAUUUCUCUAAGAAGAUGACUUAGAAUCAAUUAAUAGGAUUAUCUAGAAUCAUCAACUUUUGUGUAGGAGAAUUGUCACCAACUUACCUCUAUAAAUAGGGGAUGGUGUAUGGUGAAAGGUGUGUGGAGAGUGAGAUCAGAUAGAAUAAGUAGAGAAAGAGAGACAUAGUGAGGUAAUCUAGUGUGUUAAUAAGGAGCAUCUUCGUAUAAUCAAAGCGAGUCAAAAAAAAGUGUAAAAUUGUAUUUUAUCAAUAAAAAUUAUUUUAUUUGAGAGUUUAAACUCUACAUCGCCUGAAACAUCUUGGUAAUCUUAGUAAUUAACAUUAGCUUAAAUUUUUAUUUUUCCGUCUGAUUUCGUGGGUUUAUUCUAGUUGUUUGCUCUUUGUAUAUUGUAUUUUCCGAUUUUCCAUCGUUUACAGUAAUACGAGGGAUAAAUUUGGUGGUGAGCUAAUUUUGAUUGGUUAUUGAGCUAUAGUACUUUGCCGUGAUUUCCCCUUUCUAUUCAUUGCAUCUGGUUUAAGGAGAUUUUUUCAGCUGUAACUUGAAGGGUUUAUACGCUUGGAUCAGGAGAAGGUACUUUCUUAAUCAAAUUAAUUUAAUUUGUUUUUGUUUUUGAAUCAAUUUAUGUUUUGUAAAUGUUUCAUAUCAGAAUUAUGUUAUAUCUUCUAUUUGGAUACGUAGGCGGGGAAAUUUUUCUUUUUUAUUUGUUUAUUUCUUCACUUUCUGCUUCACGGGCUUUGUAAAACUGUUCACUGGAUCUCUCUGUGAUGUAUUUGAUCGACAUCAUCUUAAUUAUGGGUGCUCAUUCAUUUCUUGAAUGUUAUGUCAGUUUAGAAUUAUUAGGCUUUAUUCAUUAUCACAUUAAGCUUGGAAAUUAAAAGACAUAAUAAGCAGGGAACAUUUAACCAAAAAUGAAAUAAGGGGAGCAGUGAGCUGAGUGAGGUGAUAUACACAAAUAACCGAGUUACAUAGAAAUGAAUCUAUUUUAAGUUUCUAUCAUAUGAGCCUUUACACAACCAAAGAAAAUAGGUGUGAAAGGGCAUGAUUUAAUAAGAAUUCCUUCGGAUGGCGUGCCCGGUGCUUCAGUCCCAGUUUAUACGUAAGUUAACUUCCUUUUUUUUUUUUUUUUGGGUGGGGGAUUUAUGAGUAUUUUCAAGUCAUAAACUGGCCAUUUCUCGUGCUCAUACAUUCCUCCUAUCUAGUGGUAUGUCAAUGCUGGAGUGGAGGUCAGUUGAAUGUAUUAUAUUCCUAUCUACUGUUCCACAUAUUUUUUCCUGCUUUGUUUGUGUUAUUUUGGAAGUGAUACUUUUCAUAAUCGUAAGUGCUUAGUUGCUUCCAUCUCUGCUGGUGCAGCCCUUCUCUGCCAUUCUUGUUCCUGUAUAUGGAAGUUUGUGUUCUUCAUAAUAUCAAGGGAUAUAAUCUCACAACAAAUAAAGAUGAAAACAUAGACCAACUUAUAAGGUCUUGAGCUACUUCUCUUAAGAAGAUUGACCUUUUAAAAUGGAACUCCAAGUCUUAACAUAAUAUCAGAGCCCAUUAAGUUUCAACGAGCAAUUCGAUUCGAUUAAGACUCAAUAAAUGAGCAUUCGGAUUUCAAGAUUGGUCUGCUCAAACGAGCCACUAUCUUGCGAGGCACAUCAAGGGAUAUAAUUCCAUAUCAAAUAAAGAUAAAACAUACCAACUUAUAAGGUGGGCUACUCCUUUUAAGAAGGUUGACCUUUUAAGAUCGAAUUUCAGGUCUUAACACAUAAUACACCAGGUCCGCAGGAUAUAACCAGCAUUAGCAAAUCGACUGAUCCUCCUGAUUCAGCUCAUAACUGUGCAAGUGAUGUUUCUGUCAAUGAUCUGGAAUCAUGUUUGAUUGAGUUUCUAAGCACUGAGGAUGUGGCAAUUUCAAGUUGUGGCUUCACCGCUUUGCUCCAACUCCUGAGAAAUAUGUUAUAGGCAAUGUGGCGAGCAUAGAUGAAUAUAAGGACCCAGAUAUAAGGGAGGUGAGCAUUCCAUCUUCUGAGAAUUGCCUUAGCAACAAUUCCACCUCUUGGUGAGCAUAAAUUUUCCACCAUCGAAUUAGUGGACAGGAAAGAAAAGCAUGGUGAUUAUAUAACUCUGAAAGUCUCUUUGCCAAAUGGCCAUGCUAAAUCUGUUGAUCAGUCUUAUUCACAGUCCAUUUUUUUGCCUGUAAGUUUACUUAGACUUCUUGAUAGCUAGCUUUUGUCUCUAUUUUUCACCAACAUACGAUCUUUCUCAUGUCAAUGGGGAAUUGUAGUGAAAAACAGAUGCUGUUUUUGGUUCAAGACAGUUAAAGUAUUUUACCUAUAGCUGUCUGGUUGGGAACUGGAAUUGUACUAAUACUGCUAUGAUCAUGUUAAAUUACUGGAAAGUAGGAAUGAUUUUUUAUGCCACGUAGUUGCUUUACCACGAGGUAUGUGUCAAUUGUGCUCCUGUGUGUGCGAUUUUAUAUUCCUUGUUUGGCCCCGAUUUCUCGAGCUCAUUUUCAAUUACAUAUUUUUCCAAUAAAAUAAUUUUACUAGUAAACCCGUACGUUUUUCCUAGUUUUUAACCCCUAAUUCUCCAAAAGAAAUUACUUCUCACAAAAUCUAUUCUCAAAAAAUCUCUACCAAACAUGGGCUUAAUUUCUUCUAUAUUAUAUUCUAGCUUUAUCUUUGCUUAUAAUUCUGUUCUUUUGGUUUUCGAAAAUAUAAGCUAUCUUCUUGAUGAUCUGUAUGCAAUUUAUAUCAGAGACAAUAAUUCUAGAGGAUGCAGGCCAGUGAACCUUUUGCCCAUCCGUUUUGAAUUUUUUGAUGUCCAACCUCUGUUGUAUUUCAACAGUGCGAUAUGUUCGUUUCUUUGUUUUCCCAUUAUUCUCUUCUUUAAUUGCCUAUUUAGUAACUGGGGCGGUGCCUCGAAAAAAGUUUCAGUAAAGUAGUAGUGCAUUCCAAAUAGUUAUGUUUCUGAUAAGUUCUAGUAUGGUAUACGACAGUUCAGUUUUGGGCAAAUUCAUAAUACCACUCACUCCAAUUUUUCUCCUUGAUGUCUAAUCUUCUCAGAGGCUCCUUUGAAGCUUGUAUCUGCCAUGAAAGGUAGCCAUGAAAAGCAGGGGAUACCAGUGACAUGGGAAUGAUGGGACCUUGAUGUACACGAUCCAGUCCCAACAGCAAUGUUACAUGUUUCAUUGAACAAGAAUCAUCGCCUAUCAUUAGUGAUAUCAAGAGGCACGGGAAGAGCAAGCACAAGGGUGGUGGCAAAUCUUCACGGGGCAGCAAGGGUAAAGACCAGAAGCAAGGUAGGAAGUACAGUGGAAGUUCUAAUAGGUUCGAGUUUCUGGAUAAAAAUGGCCAAAUGGUUGGUUUCUGUGAGCCUCAGGCGAUCACUGUCGAUUUUGAUGUAGGCAGCCAAGACUUGUUAUGUGGAACUAUUUUUCUGAAGAAAUCUGACCCAAAUUUGCACUAUUCGGUUGCAGAGGUUACAUGAAGCCAUGUCCAAGUGGUGUGCUUUUGUUUUAUUCCAACGAUGUUGUGAUUAAUCAAUAUGGUAGCUUGGUUUGUUAAUUGGGAAACUUCUUAGAGACCCAAGCAAAUGACCUCUUUGUUCUGUUUGAUAAGGGCAUUUUAACUUCAAUUUUAUGAUUAGUAUAUUAGUUUUCAUUUGGAUUGCCAGUUCAGGAUCUAUUUGCGUGAUUCGGGUUGGAUAUUGCACUUGCUUUUUGAGCUUACUCUUGAUAUAAAAUAAUUUGUAA
Molecule: long non-coding RNA, 3751 nt
Filed under: Olea europaea subsp. europaea
Lineage: Eukaryota; Viridiplantae; Streptophyta; Magnoliopsida; Lamiales; Oleaceae
Source: RNAcentral